RNAcentral lists this small RNA (4823 nucleotides) under Pongo abelii (Sumatran orangutan). Its description in RNAcentral is "retained intron". The record is from RNAcentral. Lineage: Eukaryota; Metazoa; Chordata; Mammalia; Primates; Hominidae.
AGAACAGCUGGAAUCCUUCGCCGCCGGCGCGCAGCAUUCGCCCGCCGGAAUCGCUGCCUUAUCCACCAGCGGGAUGCUUACCUCGCCCGCCCUCUCGGGUCAGGCGGGCCCAGGAGGAUGGGAGGGUGGCUGCUGAGCGGGAGCCGCCACGUCUUCCACCCGACAUAUUGCCUAGAGUUUGCUGUGACUUAGAUCUUGAUUCAGAGAUGGAGAAAUCAGGCUCAUCUUCUACCAUCUCUGAGCAGCAGCUGCAGAGGCAAGAGGGAUGGAGUAACACCAAAACAGACUUGGCUGAGCAGAGUCUCAUUUCAUCUGAGAAAUGGCUUCAACUGCAUGGGCUUAAGAGCAACAAACUGACCUUGAAACAGAUUUUGUCACAGAUCGGAUUCCCACAUUGUGAAGAUUAUGUGGCGUCUCUGGGGAGACCUGUGGCUUCUCGGUAUGCUGAUGGUCUGUUUCCACAGCUCUGCAGAACAGAAGAUGGCAGAGUAUACAAUCUGACAGCUAAAUCAGAACUGAUUUAUCAGUUUGUGGAACAUUUAACACAAGCUGUGGAGAGCUACAAGCAGCGAAUGGACUGGCUCACCAGCAAAAGCCGGCAGAUUUUUGGUGUCAUCUUGGAACAGUGCGUCACCAUAGUUCUGGAUUUUGGCGGCAUUCUGGAGGGGGAGCUUGAUCUGUGCCGAGAGGCUCUAACAAUGGUUCUCCAGGAGCAGGUGGCUCACAUAACCAAGUUCAAUAUCAUACGGGUUUCUCAAGAGCCUGUGAAGUGGCAGGAAAAUGCUACUCCUGUGACCAAACAGUCCAUAGCUACUGCCGUCAGUUGGGUUGAGAAACUGAUGGUUGAGCUGACUGUGAGCGAGGCUGGCCGCCUGGAUGCUCUGCUGGAAGCCGGGAGAGACAAGACUAUUGAAUCCAUUUACUACUUUGUGGUGGGGGAUGUUCCUGAAGAAUCCAAGGAGCUUCUCCUCCAGAGGGCCUUGGAGAUCCCGUGUCCGGUCUACACAGUGUCCUUCAACGCCAGAGGAGAAGGCACUAUAGCUUUUCUAAAGGAUCUGAGUGCCAAGACCCACAGCAGAUUCCAUGCAUUUGCCGAGAGAACAGAGUGUGUAGAAUUUCCUGCAUUCUCCACAAAGGAUGGUGACGAUGUAAUGACUUGGAAUUCAAGGAACCUGAAAGGAAAACUCCCUCCAGGAGCCGGAGUCAGAGAGGAUGUGUUUCUCGUUUGGCGAGAGAUGGAGGAAGCCUGCAGCACGCUGGCCCAGAUCCAGAGGCUGGUGGCCGAGCCUCCCAAGCCCGACGUGGCCACCGUGGACUGCGAGUCAGAAACAACCUCUGUUGAGAUUGCAUCGAAUCCGGAAGACACCUGGGACUCUAAGACAUGGCUGCAGAAAUACGGCUUGAAGGCCCAGAAGCUAUCCUUGUAUGAUGUCCUUGCCGACUGCUCUUUCCGCCACGCUGAUGGGGUUGUGGAUAUAAAAGCCAAACCGGAGAAUGAGUCCGUGCAGACCAGUGCGGAGACCAACAAGAAGACAGUCCAUGCAAAGUAUUGCAGCAGGUUUGUCCAUGCUCCCUGGAAGGAUGGGAGCUUGGUCCACGUCAACAUUACCAAAGAGAAGUGCAAGUGGUACAGUGAGAGAAUCCACACAGCCCUGGCCCAGAUCCGAAGGAGGAUUAAAUGGCUACAGGAUGGGAGUCAAAGCCUCUUUGGAAGAUUGCAUAAUGAUUGCAUCUACAUUCUCAUUGACACAUCUCACUCAAUGAAGAGCAAACUGGACUUGGUGAAGGACAAGAUCAUUCAGUUCAUACAGGAACAGCUGAAAUAUAAAAGUAAGUUUAAUUUUGUGAAGUUUGAUGGUCAAGCAGUUGCUUGGCGGGAACAACUUGCCGAAGUCAAUGAAGAUAGUUUGGAACAGGCUCAGUCCUGGAUUAGAGACAUGAAGAUUGGAAGCUCCACAAACACCCUGAGUGCCCUGAAAACUGCUUUUGCUGACAAAGAAACACAAGCAAUCUACCUUCUGACCGAUGGGAGACCUGAUCAGCCACCUGAAACGGUUAUAGACCAGGUCAAACUUUUUCAGGAAAUUCCUAUUUAUACCAUCUCCUUCAAUUACAACGAUGAGAUUGCAAACAGGUUUUUGAAAGAGGUUGCUGCUUUGACUGGAGGAGAGUUCCAUUUUUAUAAUUUUGGUUGCAAGGAUCCCACUCCUCCAGAGGCUGUUCAGAAUGAAGAUCUGACUCUUUUAGUUAAGGAAAUGGAACAGGGUUACCGUGACCUGGAGAAGAUGCAAGACCUUUAUUCUGAGUCCUUGAUCAUGGACUGGUGGUACAAUGCAGAAAAGGAUGGAGACAGCAAGCAUCAAAAGGAAAUCUGUUCUAUGAUUUCAACCCCAGAAAAGUGUGCAAAGCCUCAAUCUGAUGUCGAUUCAACACAAACUUCAUCCCUGAAUAUGUUGAAGGGACCAUGGGGCCUUUCAGAUCAAAAGGUUCAGAAAAAGAAAGUCCUUCACGCAGAAUCAACCAAAACCAGCCUGCUCAGAAGCCAGAUGUCCUCCCUCAGGAGCUCAGCUUGCAGUGAAAGGAAGGAUGGCCUCUCUAAUGCCAGCAGCCGGAGGACUGCUCUAAGUGACAAAGAAAUGAGCAUCCUGCUGGCUGAGGAGUGGCUGGAUGACAAAUCGUCAGAAAAGGUGACGCGAGAAGGAAGCCAGGUUUAUGACCACCAUUCUUCAGAUGUGUCUUCAGAAAACUGGCUGAAGACCUAUGGCUUGGUUGCCAAGAAACUCACCCUCAUGGAUGCCUUGUCAGUGGCAGCGGUCCCCCACAGCUCCACCUAUGUUCCCGUCCUGGACAAGCAUGUCAUGUCUAAGGUCUUUGAUGAGGUGUUCCCUCUGGCACAUGUGUGCAAAGACACAAAUAAGAUGACAUUAAUUAACCCCCAAGGAGCCAAACUCAAUAUCUACAAGCAAAAAGUGGAACAGGCAAUUCAAUCCUAUGAAAAGCACUUGAAUAAAAUUGUUUGGCAAGCAUUAUCUCAAGAGGAAAAAGAAAAGUUAGAUGCAAACAAACCAAUACAGUACUUGGAAAACAAAACAGUUUUAAACCAGGCUUUAGAACGGUUGAAUUGGCCCAUUUCAUUGAAAGAGCUGUCGAUGCUGGAAAGUGAAAUCCUAGCUGGGAAAAUGUACAUCCAGCAGGCCAUGGAACUCCAGGAGGCUGCCAAGAAGAAUUAUGGAGACAAAGCCCCGGGAGAGCAACAGAAAUUGCAAGGAAAUCCAACAAAGAAAACCAAAUCAAAAAGACCAGAUCCCCUCAAAGGACAGAAGGUUAUUGCAAGAUGUGAUGAAAAUGGCUUUUAUUUUCCAGGUAGUUUUUUUUUUUUUUUAAUUUUGUGAGGCUUUUGUUAAAUAAUUUGAUACUGGGGACAAGAAGUUUCAAUCUGUGCUUUUGCUAGAACACUGACAUUUCAUGAGCUGGCCCGAGCUAGUCCACUUUUCACAGAGAGGAAGUGGAAUAUCUCUGGCCAGCCAUGAAAUGAGCAUAUUUGGGCCCCCCAAAAAAGUAGCCAGAAAAAUGCACUUAAUUUAAUUUCUCAUUUUUUAUUAAACAAAUUUUUAUUACCCAUUUACUGCGUUGCAUGUAUGUAAUAUUUUGAAAGUACUGGUCUAAUGGUAUAAGCAAACAGAUGAACAUUCUUGCUUUUUGGAGAUUACAUCUUAAAGGAGACAGACAAGCAAUGAAAUAAACAGAUAAAAUAUGUGAUGUGUCAGAUACAGUACCAUAGAGAAAAAUCAAGCCACAAAUGGGGUUGAGAAUGUCCGGGUGAGGGUUUUGAUUCUAUAUCUGGUGGUUAAUGAAGAGUUCCUGGGGAAGGUGACAUAUGAAUAAGGACUUAAAGGAGGUGGGGCGAGCCAUGAGACUGGGGAGGGGAGUUCUAAGCAGAAACAACAGCGGUGCCCAGGCCUCAGGGUGGAGUGGAGGAUGGGCCAUGAGACCGGGAUAGCUGGGCCUCAGAGGUUUGCCCCAGACUUCCUGGGGGAUGUGAUCCCUGAAGGAAUCAGCUAGCUGCAAUUCAGCAGGGGGUGGAGGUAUGAAGCGAGUUUCAUGGAUGGUGACAAUAAUACGUGUGAAGACUUAGAAAUAAAGAAAAACAUCUAUGUCUGGAGAAAUAAAAUUGAUUCUGGCUGGAACAUAAAAUGAGAAGGAAGGGUGGAAAUGAUAAAGCUCUGCAGAGAGGUAAGCAUGGGGCUAUGCAUAAAGGGUCGUAUUAAGGAUUUGCACUUUACCCUGAGGGCAAUGAGAGCCAUAUUUAAAGCAGUGAGAAACACAAUCACAUUUGAAGUUUUCAGAAGCUCUCUCCCACUGCUGUGUGAAGAUUGGAUACCAAGGGGUUAGGAUGUCUCUCUGGUCCCUGGCUUCGGGCGGUAGAUAGAUAGUGGUACCUACAGGAGAUGGUGGUGUGGACGGAAAGAAAAUGAGAUGUGUCUGCAACAUGAUGAAUUGCAGGUGCCUGCAAGAUACCAGAUGAAGAUAUCAGACAAGCAGUUGGAGAUGUGGGUCUAGAGUCUGGAGACAGAGAUUUGGGAGACAUAACCACAAAAGUCAUCAUUGAAAUCAUGGGAAGGGUCUGUAGGUAAAAGGGAACUGGGAGAAAACCUUGAGGAAGCUCUGUCAGGCAAAAAGAUUACAUUGCAGGGCGGGUGUGGUGGAUCACACCUGUAAUCCCAGCAUUUUGAGAGGCCGAGGCUGGUGGAUCACUUGAGGUCAGGAGUUCAAGACCAGCCUGGCCAACAUGGUGUAACCUCAUCUCUAUUAAAAAAAAAAAA